RNAcentral lists this ribosomal RNA (482 nucleotides) under uncultured bacterium. RNAcentral's name for it is "partial 16S ribosomal RNA". It matches the Rfam family "Bacterial small subunit ribosomal RNA", at positions 30 to 507 of the family's 1533-position model. The record is from RNAcentral.
AUUGAACGCUGGCGGCAUGCUUUACACAUGCAAGUCGAACGGUAACAGGCCGCAAGGUGCUGACGAGUGGCGAACGGGUGAGUAAUGCAUCGGAACGUGCCCAGUCGUGGGGGAUAACUACUCGAAAGAGUAGCUAAUACCGCAUACGAUCUAUGGAUGAAAGCGGGGGACCGUAAGGCCUCGCGCGCUUGGAGCGGCCGAUGUCGGAUUAGGUAGUUGGUGGGGGAAAGGCUCACCAAGCCAACGAUAUGUAGCUGGUCUGAGAGGACGACCAGCCACACUGGAACUGAGACACGGCCCAGACUCCUACGGGAGGCAGCAGUGGGGAAUUUUGGACAAUGGGCGCAAGCCUGAUCCGGCAAUGCCGCGUGCAGGAAGAAGGCCUUCGGGUUGUAAACUGCUUUUGUACGGAACGAAACGGCUCUGGUUAAUACCCGGGGCUAAUGACGGUACCGUAAGAAUAAGCACCGGCUAACUACGUG